GACCGUUCCGGUGGUUUAGUGGUUAGAGAACCCAUCUCAGAUGCGGGCGGUCGCGGGUUUGAAUCCCCAUCUGAGUCA
Non-coding RNA from Potamilus streckersoni, 78 nucleotides. Lineage: Eukaryota; Metazoa; Mollusca; Bivalvia; Unionida; Unionidae. The record is from the annotation of a GenBank genome assembly.